GGGUGGCCCUAGGUUUUUUUAUAUAUAAUAUAUAUAUACAUACCAAAGAGGAAAUUGGAGGGGGAGAGUUUUCUGGGGAAAAUCAAUUUCUGCGACAAAACGUGGAGAAUCAAUCGAGAGGGACAUCCUGCUAGGAGAAAAUUGGACUGCAGCUUUAGGGAGUAAAUUAUUACUGCUCCAAUUGAUUCAUCACAGAAAACCGAGAGAAAAGAGAAUAGAAUUUGAGGGAAGCCAAGAAGAUUAUUAUAUACACUCACAGCAAACAAGGGAGUCCCUUUUUUUUUGGAGUUAAUUAGCGGCUGCUAGAUUUUAUUUAUAUACGCACGGAAACCGAAGCAAAUAAGACGGUUGAAUUAAUAAGGCUGAGGCUGCUGAAAUUCAUCUCCACACACGAAAAUUUCGGCUUCUGGGUGGAAGAUUAAGUGCUGGAUGCUGAAGAUUACAUGCACAAAUUGCCAGUUGGGAGGAAAAACAUUGAGGAGGCAGUUACACAAAGUCGGCUUAUUCACGUUGCCAAAACUUUAAUCACAUUCCGUCAAUAAAUCGGGUGAUGUCUUCCAUGAAUUUAUCUUGCUUUUCUUUCAUUAAUAUGUUUAUCUAAAUUUAUUUUAGGGAGAAUAAUGUAACUGAUUUGGAACCUUUAUUUCUUCUAUUUGAGAUUCUUG
Molecule: long non-coding RNA, 665 nt
Filed under: Olea europaea subsp. europaea
Lineage: Eukaryota; Viridiplantae; Streptophyta; Magnoliopsida; Lamiales; Oleaceae
Source: RNAcentral